GCCAGGCGUGGUGGCGGGCGCCUUUAAUCCCAGCUACUUGGGGGCUGAGGCAGGAGAAUCGCUUGAACUUGGGGGGUUGAGGCUGCAGUGAGCCGAGAUGGCACCACUGCAGUCCAGCCUGGGUGACAGAGUGACACCCUGUCUCAA
RNAcentral lists this non-coding RNA (147 nucleotides) under Gorilla gorilla gorilla (western lowland gorilla). The record is from Rfam by way of RNAcentral. Lineage: Eukaryota; Metazoa; Chordata; Mammalia; Primates; Hominidae.